AAGUCGUAACAAGGUUUCCGUAGGUGAACCUGCGGAAGGAUCAUUAAUACGCUUUUGUUUGUAACAAAACAAAACGUUUUAAACUCCAAAAGAAAUAGUGGAAAUAUAACUUCCGGAUGCGAAUGUUGGGAACUGAGUAAAAUCGGUUCUUUGAAAAAGGGACUUCAAGCAAUUGACACUUCAGAGUAGAGCAGUGAGGUGAAAUUCUCUUUUCCAAGAGAGUUUGGUUCUGAAAAACAUUUGUAUCCGGUUAUCAUAAUCUGUUCUACAAACUCCAAAAUAUCAAACAAUAAACCCCAUGUACAACAACUUGAACUAAACAUUUUUUUGUUAUUCUUCUUGCACUUGUGUGAGGAGCUACAAAGAAAAAACCUGAACUUAAGAACAACUCUUAACAACGGAUAUCUUGGUUCUC
This 415-nucleotide unclassified non-coding RNA is filed under the name fungal sp. RNAcentral describes it as "partial internal transcribed spacer region". The stretch from base 1 to 46 matches the Rfam family "Eukaryotic small subunit ribosomal RNA", at positions 1786 to 1831 of the family's 1831-position model. Lineage: Eukaryota; Fungi. The record is from RNAcentral. RNAcentral also lists the same sequence under 1 other name.